CUACGGGGCGCUGCAGUGAGGAAUAUUGCACAAUGGGGGGAACCCUGAUGCAGCAACGCCGCGUGGGGGAUGACGCAUUUCGGUGUGUAAACUCCUUUUAUAUGUCAAGAAAAUGACGGUAGCAUAUGAAUAAGCACCGGCUAACUCCGUGCCAGCAGCCGCGGUAAUACGGAGGGUGCAAGCGUUACUCGGAAUCACUGGGCGUAAAGGACGCGUAGGCGGGUUGGAAGGUCAGGUGUGAAAUCCUACAGCUUAACUGUAGAACUGCACUUGAAACUUCUAAUCUAGAGUAUGGGAGGGGGAGAUGGAAUUAGUAGUGUAGGGGUAAAAUCCGUAGAUAUCACUAGGAAUACCUAAAGCGAAGGCGAUCUCCUGGAACAUUACUGACGCUAAGGCGUGAAAGCGUGGGGAGCAAACAGGAUUAGAUACCCGGGUAGUC
Molecule: ribosomal RNA, 439 nt
Filed under: uncultured bacterium
Lineage: Bacteria
Description: partial 16S ribosomal RNA
Rfam family: Bacterial small subunit ribosomal RNA
Source: RNAcentral